Molecule: transfer RNA, 70 nt
Filed under: Dipodomys ordii (Ord's kangaroo rat)
Lineage: Eukaryota; Metazoa; Chordata; Mammalia; Rodentia; Heteromyidae
Rfam family: tRNA
About the family: Transfer RNA (tRNA) molecules are approximately 80 nucleotides in length. Their secondary structure includes four short double-helical elements and three loops (D, anti-codon, and T loops). Further hydrogen bonds mediate the characteristic L-shaped molecular structure. tRNAs have two regions of fundamental functional importance: the anti-codon, which is responsible for specific mRNA codon recognition, and the 3' end, to which the tRNAs corresponding amino acid is attached (by aminoacyl-tRNA synthetases). tRNAs cope with the degeneracy of the genetic code in two manners: having more than one tRNA (with a specific anti-codon) for a particular amino acid; and 'wobble' base-pairing, i.e. permitting non-standard base-pairing at the 3rd anti-codon position.
Source: Rfam by way of RNAcentral
GGAAAGAUGGCUCAGUGGUAGAGUGAUUGCCUUGCAUGCAUGAGGCCCUGGGUUCGAUUCCUCAGUACCA